Molecule: non-coding RNA, 73 nt
Organism: Lutra lutra (Eurasian river otter)
Lineage: Eukaryota; Metazoa; Chordata; Mammalia; Carnivora; Mustelidae
Source: the annotation of a RefSeq genome assembly
ACCUGGCUGGCUCAGUCGGUAGAGUGUGGGACUUUUGAUCUCAGGGCUGUGAGUUCAAAACCCAUGUUGGGUA